CCUACGGGAGGCAGCAGUAGGGAAUCUUCGGCAAUGGACGAAAGUCUGACCGAGCAACGCCGCGUGAGCGAUGAAGGCCUUCGGGUCGUAAAGCUCUGUUGUCAGAGAAGAACAAGUACCGGAGUAACUGCCGGUACCUUGACGGUACCUGACCAGAAAGCCACGGCUAACUACGUGCCAGCAGCCGCGGUAAUACGUAGGUGGCAAGCGUUAUCCGGAAUUAUUGGGCGUAAAGCGCGCGCAGGCGGUUCCUUAAGUCUGAUGUGAAAGCCCACGGCUCAACCGUGGAGGGUCAUUGGAAACUGGGGAACUUGAGUGCAGGAGAGAAAAGUGGAAUUCCACGUGUAGCGGUGAAAUGCGUAGAGAUGUGGAGGAACACCAGUGGCGAAGGCGGCUUUUUGGCCUGUAACUGACGCUGAGGCGCGAAAGCGUGGGGAGCAAACAGGAUUAGAUACCCUGGUAGUCCACGCCGUAAACGAUGAGUGCUAGGUGUUGGGGGGUUCCACCCUCAGUGCUGACGUUAACACAUUAAGCACUCCGCCUGGGGAGUACGGCCGCAAGGCUGAAACUCAAAGGAAUUGACGGGGGCCCGCACAAGCAGUGGAGCAUGUGGUUUAAUUCGAAGCAACGCGAAGAACCUUAC
This 643-nucleotide ribosomal RNA is filed under the name bacterium HN1-1-15. Its description in RNAcentral is "bacterial SSU rRNA". It matches the Rfam family "Bacterial small subunit ribosomal RNA", at positions 338 to 974 of the family's 1533-position model. The record is from RNAcentral.